This 381-nucleotide ribosomal RNA is filed under the name uncultured eukaryote. RNAcentral describes it as "partial 18S ribosomal RNA". It matches the Rfam family "Eukaryotic small subunit ribosomal RNA", at positions 592 to 976 of the family's 1831-position model. The record is from RNAcentral.
CAAUAGCGUAUAUUAAAGUUGUUGCGGUAAAAAAGCUCGUAGUUGGAUUUCUACCGAAGAUUGCCGGUCGGGUCUUCGACCUUGUAUCUGGUUUUGUCUUUGGUAUCCUCAUAGGGAACGUUUCUGCGCUUUAUUGCGUGGUGCGGUAUCUAUGACUUUUACUUUGAGGAAAUUAGAGUGUUCACGGCAGGCAAACGCCUUGAAUAUAUUAGCAUGGAAUAAUAACAUAGGAUCUUCGUCCUAUUUUGUUGGUUUCUAGGGCUAAGAUAAUGAUUAAUAGGGAUAAUUGGGGGCAUCUGUAUCAACGCGUCAGAGGUGGAAUUCUUGGAUUGCGUUGCGACAAACUACUGCGAAAGCAUUUGCCAAGGAUGUUUUCAUUGA